This 200-nucleotide ribosomal RNA is filed under the name uncultured bacterium. RNAcentral's name for it is "partial 16S ribosomal RNA". It matches the Rfam family "Bacterial small subunit ribosomal RNA", at positions 29 to 224 of the family's 1533-position model. The record is from RNAcentral.
AGUGAACGCUGGCGGUAGGCCUAACACAUGCAAGUCGAACGGCAGCACAGGAGAGCUUGCUCUCUGGGUGGCGAGUGGCGGACGGGUGAGGAAUACAUCGGAAUCUACCUUUUCGUGGGGGAUAACGUAGGGAAACUUACGCUAAUACCGCAUACGACCUACGGGUGAAAGUGGGGGACCGCAAGGCCUCACGCGAUUAA